UACAUACUCCCUCCGCCCGGAAAUACUUGUCGUUCAAAUGGAUGUAUCUAGCACUGAAAUAUGCCUACAUGCGUCCAUUUGAGCGACAAGUAUUUUCGGGCGGAGGUAGUAUAUU
Non-coding RNA from Triticum aestivum (bread wheat), 115 nucleotides. NCBI's taxonomy places the organism in Eukaryota, Viridiplantae, Streptophyta, Magnoliopsida, Poales, Poaceae. The record is from Rfam.